UCCUACGGGGCGCAGCAGUGAGGAAUAUUGGUCAAUGGCCGGAAGGCUGAACCAGCCAAGCCGCGUGAAGGACGAAGGUGCCAAGCAUUGUAAACUUCUUUUGUCAAGGGACAAAAUCAGGCUCGAGAGCCUGACCGAGGGUACUUGAAGAAAAAGCAUCGGCUAACUCCGUGCCAGCAGCCGCGGUAAUACGGAGGAUGCGAGCGUUAUCCGGAUUUAUUGGGUGUAAAGGGAACGCAGGCGGUCUUUUAAGUCUGAUGUGAAAGCCUUCGGCUUAACCGGAGUAGUGCAUUGGAAACUGGGAG
Molecule: ribosomal RNA, 305 nt
Filed under: uncultured bacterium
Lineage: Bacteria
Description: bacterial SSU rRNA
Rfam family: Bacterial small subunit ribosomal RNA
Source: RNAcentral